This is a long non-coding RNA of Phascolarctos cinereus (koala), 1115 nucleotides long. RefSeq lists it as uncharacterized. NCBI's taxonomy places the organism in Eukaryota, Metazoa, Chordata, Mammalia, Diprotodontia, Phascolarctidae. The record is from RefSeq and is a predicted model, not a curated record.
AGGAGCUCCCGAGGGGGAGGGGAGGAAGAGGGCGAACGGUCAAGUCAAGUCAACCAGCACUUAAUGAAGCGCCUGCUGGGUGCCGAUGGUGGUCUUUUCAGUGGUGCCUGACGCUUCGCGACCCUGUACAGGGUUUUCUUGGCAGGGACACUGGAGAGGUUUGCCAUUUCCUUCUCCAGUGGAUGAAGGCAAACAGAGUGCGGAGAGAAAGAAAGAUGUCUUGGACGGCUCGUCUACCAUUGCUUCCAAUUCUCAGCAGCCCAAGCACCACCAUGGAAGCAGUGCUGUAAACAGCCUGAGUCUCAGAAGCAGCCUGAAAACCAUGUGCUUUGCUCAAACCUGGCCUGCCCACAUGGCCCUAAGAGGGAAAAAAGUUCAUGAAAGCUCUCCUUAUGUCUCUUUUCUCCCAGAGAUCUCCAAACGAUGCUUGGUUCUUUAGAGAUGGCAAACCCAGCCAUUUGGUGAUGGCUCCUUGCUGGAAGGAUCUGGCGCUGGUAUGAAGAAGCAAACCCUCUCCCUCUAACCCCAUGAUAGCAGCACAAGGCACAAAGUCAGUUAAAACAGAUGACUUCCAGCGGCCUCUUCUUCUCUAUGCCCUCCCGUGAAAGGGUGUUGGGUGGGGAAGGGGGGGCAGAGGAGAAGCUGCCCCUCCUCCCACCUCAGCAGAAAGGGUGAUUGGUCAUGCAUGGUAGCUAAAGUCCACGUCUUGAUUAGGUAAGCCUGAUCCUAGUUCCAGGGCUGCCUCUACUCUGCUCUUUCCUGACAUUAGGUGAAUCAGUAUUGAUCCCAUUCAUGUGAGUUUGGGCUUAGAGGCCACCUUGUGAGUUCAAAAGUUUCAACAGUCCUGAGUCCUUUAGUCAGAGCUGACUCAUCAGAAUCAGGAGGAGAGUACAGAGUCAAAAUGAAAUAUAAAAUGCCUUUUCAGCAGCCACACAAACUGUUUUAUGUUCUGAUGAUGUUUAAUGUAUCAGCUUCCUAGAAGAUUGCUAUUCUAUACUGUUGUAAGUUAAGUUACUGAAUCCUAUUUUUGUCUUUCUAUCAAUGCAAUGCUUGUGAGUAUUUUGUGUUUGGCAUUUCUUUUGUGUGCAGGAAAUAAAUGUGUGUCUCCUACAUGA